Dermacentor andersoni is the source of this 657-nucleotide long non-coding RNA. RefSeq lists it as uncharacterized. The record is from RefSeq and is a predicted model, not a curated record. Lineage: Eukaryota; Metazoa; Arthropoda; Arachnida; Ixodida; Ixodidae.
ACAACACCAAUCACAACUUUGCGAAAAUUAUUGACGUCAGUAAUAGAUAUAAUUUCAUUGGGGAGAUCGUUCCAUUCUUUAGAGAGAGAGAGAGAAACGAGGAGGGAAAAGUAGGGAGGCUAACGAUUCUUUAGAAGUGCGGGAAAAAAAGAGCGUAGAAAAGCUGCUGUUCUGCAUAAAAGGAUGGCUAUUCUGUAAGGAACGGACCAGGUAAUGCGAUGUGCCAGCAGCCUGCGGCAAGAGUGGCUGGCUAGCCACUGGCCUUUACUGCAGCUUCCUAGUGUUCUUCCGGCCUGCUGUACACCUCCACUGCUGCUGCUACGUCUCGGUCAGGUACAAGCUACCCUAAAAGGGGCUGGACUCCCGGCUGCCACACACAGCGGCCACAAUGAGAACCGCCACGGCAACGACGACGACAGAACGGCGAGCACCCCCUUUAUAUAACGCAAGAAGGCAGCUGCAAGGACACAAGGAUGUCAAAGAGCAAGCCCAGCGUGACUUCACGUAUUGCAGAGGAGCGCACACCAAAGAAUCAAAGUGCAUUGUCAUGGAAUUUGGAACAGAAAACUACAAUUAACUUGGCGACCACAGAUUACAUCCCAUUCACCAAGCAUAAGCGCAGAAGCUUCGUAUGGAGGAAUCAAAUACUUCCCACAU